UGCUGCCUGUGCAAAGCUGAGGGGAGUGAAAAGCAGCAACUUAUUUUUGCCGACAAGUAGAUGCAUAAUCCCUGAAUGCACUAGGAAAGCUAUCCAUUGAGGAAGAAAGCAACAUGUUUGCAGACUCCACACCCCAUUAUCAGGGAAUUAAUAAACAACAGUGGUGAUAUGGACCAAAGGAGCAGUCAUGCAUUUCUCAGUCCUCUGGAAAUUCCCUAGCCAUGGGACCACAUGCCCUUUUGUUGACUCUCCUUCUGGGAACUUCUUUACACUGAAAGUAUCUCCAGGGCCUGUUGCUGGAUCCACACCUGUUCUCCUUCCACUCCUAUUGCAAAUAGAUUUUCCCUCAUUUUGACAGGCAGUGAGUACUGUGUAUUAAUAGCAGCUCUCUUCAGAGGUUUUGCAGGUGGGAUGGGCCAUGGUCUCCAUCUGAUCCAGGUGCUCAUUGAUGGAGUCCAGCACACCAUCAGCUGCUCUCCUGGGCUGCUCAUUCCUGAGCUGCUGACAGGAAGCCUUUCCUUAGCAGGUGAGUGUGG
This 536-nucleotide long non-coding RNA is filed under the name Cyanistes caeruleus (blue tit). RNAcentral's name for it is "lncRNA (ENSCCEG00000002344.1)". The record is from RNAcentral. Lineage: Eukaryota; Metazoa; Chordata; Aves; Passeriformes; Paridae.